This 498-nucleotide ribosomal RNA is filed under the name uncultured bacterium. RNAcentral describes it as "partial 16S ribosomal RNA". It matches the Rfam family "Bacterial small subunit ribosomal RNA", at positions 28 to 507 of the family's 1533-position model. The record is from RNAcentral.
GACGAACGCUGGCGGCGUGCCUAAUACAUGCAAGUCGAACGAGAGCGACCGGUGCUUGCACUGGUCAAUCUAGUGGCGAACGGGUGAGUAACACGUGGGUAACCUGCCCAUCAGAGGGGGAUAACAUCCGGAAACGGAUGCUAAAACCGCAUAGGUCUUCGAACCGCAUGGUUUGAAGAGGAAAAGAGGCGCAAGCUUCUGCUGAUGGAUGGACCCGCGGUGCAUUAGCUAGUUGGUGAGGUAACGGCUCACCAAGGCCGUGAUGCAUAGCCGACCUGAGAGGGUGAUCGGCCACAUUGGGACUGAGACACGGCCCAAACUCCUACGGGAGGCAGCAGUAGGGAAUCUUCCGCAAUGGACGCAGGUCUGACGGAGCAACGCCGCGUGAGUGAAGAAGGUUUUCGGAUCGUAAAACUCUGUUGUUAGAGAAGAACAAGUGCUAGAGUAACUGUUAGCGCCUUGACGGUAUCUAACCAGAAAGCCACGGCUAACUACGUG